RNAcentral lists this ribosomal RNA (253 nucleotides) under uncultured prokaryote. RNAcentral's name for it is "partial 16S ribosomal RNA". It matches the Rfam family "Bacterial small subunit ribosomal RNA", at positions 524 to 776 of the family's 1533-position model. The record is from RNAcentral.
UACAGAGGUCCCAAGCGUUGUUCGGAUUCACUGGGCGUAAAGGGUGCGUAGGCGGCCGGGUAAGUCUGAUGUGAAAUCUCCGAGCUCAACUCGGAAAUGGCAUUGGAUACUAUUCGGCUAGAGGAGUGGAGGGGGGACUGGAAUACUUGGUGUAGCAGUGAAAUGCGUAGAUAUCAAGUGGAACACCAGUGGCGAAGGCGAGUCCCUGGACAUUUCCUGACGCUGAGGCACGAAAGCUAGGGGAGCAAACAGG